GGGCCCGCACAAGCGGCGGAGCAUGCGGAUUAAUUCGAUGCAACGCGAAGAACCUUACCUGGGUUUGACAUAUACCGGAAAGCUGCAGAGAUGUAGCCCCCGCAAGGUCGGUAUACAGGUGGUGCAUGGCUGUCGUCAGCUCGUGUCGUGAGAUGUUGGGUUAAGUCCCGCAACGAGCGCAACCCUCGUCCUAUGUUGCCAGCGGAUAAUGCCGGGGACUCAUAGGAGACUGCCGGGGUCAACUCGGAGGAAGGUGGGGAUGACGUCAAGUCAUCAUGCCCCUUAAGUCCAGGGCUUCACGCAUGCUACAAUGGCUGGUACAAAGGGCUGCAAUACCGCAAGGUUGAGCGAAUCCCAAAAAGCCAGUCUCAGUUCGGAUUGGGGUCUGCAACUCGACCCCAUGAAGUCGGAGUCGCUAGUAAUCGCAGAUCAGCAACGCUG
RNAcentral lists this ribosomal RNA (441 nucleotides) under uncultured Actinomycetes bacterium. Its description in RNAcentral is "bacterial SSU rRNA". It matches the Rfam family "Bacterial small subunit ribosomal RNA", at positions 917 to 1359 of the family's 1533-position model. Lineage: Bacteria; Bacillati; Actinomycetota; Actinomycetes. The record is from RNAcentral.